RNAcentral lists this ribosomal RNA (259 nucleotides) under uncultured bacterium. RNAcentral describes it as "partial 16S ribosomal RNA". It matches the Rfam family "Bacterial small subunit ribosomal RNA", at positions 526 to 779 of the family's 1533-position model. The record is from RNAcentral.
CAGAGGGUGCGAGCGUUAAUCGGAUUUACGUGGGGCGUAAAGCGUGCGUAGGCGGCCAAUUAAGUCAAAAUGUGAAAAUCCCCGAGCUUAACUUGGGAAUUGCAUUCGAUACUGGUUGGCUAGAGUAUGGGAGAGGAUGGUAGAAUUCCAGGUGUAGCGGUGAAAUGCGUAGAGAUCUGGAGGAAUACCGAUGGCGAAGGCAGCCAUCUGGCCUAAUACUGACGCUGAGGUACGAAAGCAUGGGGGAGCAAACAGGAUU